Molecule: long non-coding RNA, 1591 nt
Filed under: Malus domestica (apple)
Lineage: Eukaryota; Viridiplantae; Streptophyta; Magnoliopsida; Rosales; Rosaceae
Description: long non-coding RNA (MDOM_LNC020593)
Source: RNAcentral
AAUAACUAAAGAAACACAACGUAAACGCACAAGAACAAGCCAAUUAAGUCGCAUAAAUAUGCUCCUAUCACACACCCUACACUAGUAUAUGUGAGAAGAUUAAUGUAAACACAAAAGACUAGGACUCACAUAUGUUAUAACAAAGAAAGCAUUUUUCUGGAGUUAUUAAGCAUGUUUAGAUAUGAUCUCAUUAAUGGAAUGCUACUACUUAGAUGCGAGAACCAGUGACACCAUAUGCUCAUACCAAUUUUGAACUCCACAAAUUGAAACACACAACACUCAAGAUUGAAGUCAAGGGUUGUAACAGGGCUUGAAGGUAAUGGCUAAUAAAGAAAGGAUAGGAAUAACAAACGUUCUUAAAGCGAUAGCAAGCAAAGCAAUGAAAUAGACACUUGGAAUUCACUUUAGAAUGCAGAAUCAAAUUUUAAAUACAAAGGGAAGAUUCAUGCAACACUUAGGGCCGAAUUCAAUGUUUUGGACCCUUUUUUAACAAACAACACUUUAGAACUCUUUUUCAUACUUUUUUUUCUUUUAUUUUUUUUUCUUUUCUCGACCCGUGCCUUAUUAAGGACUCUGAUACACACACACACACACACAAGAAUCACUUCCCCCACACUUCCCCCACACUUAUUAAGAACGCUUGUUAUCCCUAUCCUUUCUUUGUUAGCCAUUACCCCCAAGCCCUGUUAGAACCCUUGACUUCAAUCUUGAGUGUUGUGUGUUUCAAUUUGUGGAGUUUGAAAUUGGUAUGAGCAUAUGGUGUCACUGGUUCUCGCAUCUAAGUAGUAGCAUUCCAUUCAUGAGAUCAUAUCUAAACAUGCUUAAUAACUCCAGAAAAUUGCUUUCUUUGUUAUAACAUAUGUGAGUCCUAAUCUUUCGUGUUUACAUCAAUCUUCUCACAUAUACUAGUGUAGGGUGUGUAGUCAGAAAAUGUGUGUGAAAAUAGAGAGUAUCUUGUAAGGAAUUGAGCAAACUCUCUAAGGCAUGUUACUACAUUCAAAACAUCGUUUUAAUUGAUUAAUUGUGACCUAGUAAGUGGUGACUGUGAUUAAGUAUGUGCUCAAGUGUAAGGAUGACCAAUAUCUGUGGGAAUGAUGAUUUUUAACACGUCAUAUUUCAUUAAAAAUCCCUGAGGCAACUGUUGGAAGGUUAGGUUGUGCUUUGUUUGUUUUGUUUCGUUUUGUUUUUUUUGUUUUGCUCGAGGACUAGCAAAAGCUAAGUGUGGGGGAAUUUGAUAGGAGCAUAUUUAUGCAACUUAGUAGCUUGUUUCUUGGCAUUUACUUAGCUUAAUUCUAGUUAUUUUAGUACUUUAAGCUAUUUUCGUGUGUUUGUAGGUUCAAAUAACAAAGUGCUAUUUGGAGCAUUUUGGAGCAUUUUUGGGCCAAGAUUGGAUAGUGCAAGCAUGGAGACAUGAGGAUGGACGUUUUUGAAGAUUUGAAGGCUAGAAAUCAGAAUGUAUGUGUGCAAGUGUGUUGACCUACACUACAAACAUCCAUCCACUACACCCAUUACAUCCACUCAUGACCAAACAUCCAUACACUACACCCAUUACAUCCACUCAUUACCAACCACUCACCCAUUACACCCAUUA